CCUACGGGAGGCAGCAGUGGGGAAUAUUGGGCAAUGGAGGAAACUCUGACCCAGCGACGCCGCGUGCGGGAUGAAGGCCUUCGGGUUGUAAACCGCUUUCAGCAGGGAAGAAGCGAAAGUGACGGUACCUGCAGAAGAAGCACCGGCUAACUAUGUGCCAGCAGCCGCGGUAAUACAUAGGGUGCAAGCGUUGUCCGGAAUUAUUGGGCGUAAAGAGCUCGUAGGUGGUUCGUCACGUCGGAUGUGAAAAUCUGGGGCUUAACCCCAGACCUGCAUUCGAUACGGGCGAGCUUGAGUAUGGUAGGGGAGUCUGGAAUUCCUGGUGUAGCGGUGGAAUGCGCAGAUAUCAGGAGGAACACCAAUGGCGAAGGCAGGACUCUGGGCCAUUACUGACACUGAGGAGCGAAAGCGUGGGGAGCGAACAGGAUUAGAUACCCUGGUAGUCCACGCCGUAAACGGUGGGCACUAGUUGUGGGGACCUUCCACGGUCUCUGCGACGCNGCUACGCAUAGUGUCCCGCCGUCGGGAGGUACGAGUCGCGAGAGUUAAACGUAACGUAAAGUUAAGUUAGUAGGCGUUGAGACGUUGCCGACGGACGACGACGAGGGAGAGG
This 613-nucleotide ribosomal RNA is filed under the name uncultured bacterium. RNAcentral's name for it is "bacterial SSU rRNA". The stretch from base 1 to 521 matches the Rfam family "Bacterial small subunit ribosomal RNA", at positions 338 to 873 of the family's 1533-position model. The record is from RNAcentral.